RNAcentral lists this ribosomal RNA (371 nucleotides) under Campylobacter sp. RNAcentral's name for it is "bacterial SSU rRNA". It matches the Rfam family "Bacterial small subunit ribosomal RNA", at positions 386 to 774 of the family's 1533-position model. Lineage: Bacteria; Pseudomonadati; Campylobacterota; Epsilonproteobacteria; Campylobacterales; Campylobacteraceae. The record is from RNAcentral.
GAGCAGCACGCCGCGUGGAGGAUGACACUUUUCGGAGCGUAAACUCCUUUUCUUGGGAAAGAAUUAUGACGGUACCCAAGGAAUAAGCACCGGCUAACUCCGUGCCAGCAGCCGCGGUAAUACGGAGGGUGCAAGCGUUACUCGGAAUCACUGGGCGUAAAGGACGCGUAGGCGGAUUAUCAAGUCUCUUGUGAAAUCUAACGGCUUAACCGUUAAACUGCUUGGGAAACUGAUAAUCUAGAGUAAGGGAGAGGCAGAUGGAAUUCUUGGUGUAGGGGUAAAAUCCGUAGAGAUCAAGAAGAAUACCCAUUGCGAAAGCGAUCUGCUGGAACUUAACUGACGCUAAUGCGUGAAAGCGUGGGGAGCAAACA